UACGUAGGCAGCGAGCGUUGUUCGGAGUUACUGGGCGUAAAUAGUGCGUAGGCGGUUUUCUAAGUUUGGUGUGAAAUCUCCCGGCUCAACUGGGAGGGUGCGCCGAAGACUGGAAGGCUUGAGUAUGGGAGAGGUAAGCGGAAUUCCUGGUGUAGCGGUGAAAUGCGUAGAUAUCAGGAGGAACACCUGCGGUGUAGACGGCUUACUGGACCAUAACUGACGCUGAGGCACGAAAGCGUGGGUAGCAAACAGG
RNAcentral lists this ribosomal RNA (253 nucleotides) under uncultured bacterium. RNAcentral describes it as "partial 16S ribosomal RNA". It matches the Rfam family "Bacterial small subunit ribosomal RNA", at positions 524 to 776 of the family's 1533-position model. The record is from RNAcentral.